GACGAACGCUGGCGGCGUGCUUAACACAUGCAAGUCGAACGGAAAGGCCCUGCUUUUGUGGGGUGCUCGAGUGGCGAACGGGUGAGUAACACGUGAGUAACCUGCCCUUGACUUUGGGAUAACUUCAGGAAACUGGGGCUAAUACAGGAUAGGAGCUCCUGCUGCAUGGUGGGGGUUGGAUAGUUUCGGCGGUUGGGGAUGGACUCGCGGCUUAUCAGCUGGGUGGGGGGGUAGUGGCUUACCAAGGCUUUGUCGGGUAGCCGGCCUGAGAGGGUGACCGGCCACAUUGGGACUGAGAUACGGCCCAGACUCCUACGGGAGUCAGCAGUGGGGAAUAUUGCACAAUGGGCGGAAGCCUGAUGCAGCAACGCCGCGUGCGGGAUGACGGCCUUCGGGUUGUAAACCGCUUUCGCCUGUGGCGAAGCGUGAGUGACGGUAAUGGGUAAAGAAGCACCGGCUAACUACGUGCCAGCCGCCGCAGUAA
RNAcentral lists this ribosomal RNA (484 nucleotides) under uncultured bacterium. Its description in RNAcentral is "partial 16S ribosomal RNA". It matches the Rfam family "Bacterial small subunit ribosomal RNA", at positions 28 to 523 of the family's 1533-position model. The record is from RNAcentral.